Molecule: ribosomal RNA, 443 nt
Filed under: Staphylococcus aureus
Lineage: Bacteria; Bacillati; Bacillota; Bacilli; Caryophanales; Staphylococcaceae
Description: partial 23S ribosomal RNA
Rfam family: Bacterial large subunit ribosomal RNA
Source: RNAcentral
GGAAGAGAAAGAAAAUUCGAUUCCCUUAGUAGCGGCGAGCGAAACGGGAAGAGCCCAAACCAACAAGCUUGCUUGUUGGGGUUGUAGGACACUCUAUACGGAGUUACAAAGGACGACAUUAGACGAAUCAUCUGGAAAGAUGAAUCAAAGAAGGUAAUAAUCCUGUAGUCGAAAAUGUUGUCUCUCUUGAGUGGAUCCUGAGUACGACGGAGCACGUGAAAUUCCGUCGGAAUCUGGGAGGACCAUCUCCUAAGGCUAAAUACUCUCUAGUGACCGAUAGUGAACCAGUACCGUGAGGGAAAGGUGAAAAGCACCCCGGAAGGGGAGUGAAAUAGAACCUGAAACCGUGUGCUUACAAGUAGUCAGAGCCCGUUAAUGGGUGAUGGCGUGCCUUUUGUAGAAUGAACCGGCGAGUUACGAUUUGAUGCAAGGUUAAGCAGUAA